AACGAACGCUGGCGGCGCGUCUUAACCAUGCAAGUCGAGCGGCAGGCAGCAAUGCCGAGAGCGGCGGACUGGUGAGUAACACGUGGAUAACGUACCCCGAUGUCCGGGACAGCCUGUAGAAAUAGAGGGUAAUACCGGAUAGAUCACUGUUUACGUGAGGUAGACAGCGGGAAAGGAGCUUCGGCUCCGCGACGGGAUCGGUCUGCGGCCCAUCAGCUGGACGGCGGGGUAAAGGCCCGCCGUGGCGAGGACGGGUAUCCGGCCUGAGAGGGCGGACGGACACAUUGGGACUGAGAUACGGCCCAGAAUCCUACGGGAGGCAGCAGGUAAGAAUAUUCCGCAAUGGGGGGAACCCUGACGGAGCGACGCCGCGUGAACGAAGAAGGCCGGAAGGUUGUAAAGUUCUUUUCUGUCCGAGGAAUAAGUUUCGGAGGAAAUGCCGGGACGGUGACGGUAGGGCAGGAAUAAGCACCGGCUAAUUACGUG
RNAcentral lists this ribosomal RNA (486 nucleotides) under uncultured bacterium. RNAcentral's name for it is "partial 16S ribosomal RNA". It matches the Rfam family "Bacterial small subunit ribosomal RNA", at positions 29 to 507 of the family's 1533-position model. The record is from RNAcentral.